This 546-nucleotide long non-coding RNA is filed under the name Pongo abelii (Sumatran orangutan). RNAcentral describes it as "lincRNA". The record is from RNAcentral. Lineage: Eukaryota; Metazoa; Chordata; Mammalia; Primates; Hominidae.
ACCACAGGCUGGCAACACGGCAGCGUGAUGGACUGGGGCAAUUUGAACUCAGCAGCUGACUUAUUUUCUGUGGCUUUCUGCUUCUGCUGCUUCUGGUACUGCAAAGGCGUCAAGUGGUCAAAGCCGACAUGGGGCCCAGGGCCUUCUAUCUGGCUCAGAUUGGAAAUAUACCAUUAGCUGUCCUGGGCCUCGAGCUUGCCAACCUCAAAUCUUGGGACUUCUCUACCUACAUAAUCAUUCUUGCUCUAUCGCCAGGCUGGAGUGCAGUGGCACAAUCUUGGCUCACUGCAACCUCUGCCUGCCAGGUUCAAGCAAUUCUCCUGCCUCAGCCUCCCAAGUAGCUGGGACCAUAGUCUGGCUUCUCACUGCUGAAUUUUUCUGGAACACAUCUGGUCAUUGCAUUGGCUAGCCAAAUAAAGCCACCUCUGGAGAUGGUCCCCUUCCCACGUAACCCUCCAAGAGAAGUAGUAUAUCGGCUUCCUCUCGGAGUCAUAAAUGUUCUGAAUGGAGUAAGUCCUCAGAGAUUCCUUGACUGGAGAUGGAAAC